AUUUCAAGCCCGGAAUUAAAACCCUCACAAAACCCACGCAACAAGCUCUUCACUUGACAUGUACAGGAAGACAGUGAAGGAACGGAAGGUCGUGGUUGAUUAGCACUGAACAUUGGAACUGGUGAAAAAAACUUUACCGUUUUAGUUGCGUUUCAAGAUGGCUUUUAGAGGAAGAGGACGCGGCAGAGGACGAUUUGGAGGAGGUGGUGGAUUUAGCUAUGCUAGACAAGAAUCUUUUGUGGAGUUUCCUGACAUUCAGUUACCUGAUCACAAAUAUGUCAAGGAAGAGAAGGCCUUAGUUUUUGUGAAUUCAAAGUUGCAGAAUUUUUGGAAAUCUUCAGCUUAUUAUCUUGAAGACACUGUUUCAAAGAAGAGCCAAAGCAUGGACAUAGAAAGAUUUUCUGAUUGGGUGAAACCAAAGAACACAUCAAAAAGAGAUCAACUUAACCAUUUUCUGCUGCUCAGUUCUGCAAAUUUUCCUGACGAACUUGUAGAAGGUGCAAAGAUGGAGCAGAAACGUCCAAAAAAAGUUCGAUGGAAUCCGGAUGCAGACCGGAAAUUUGAUUUUUUUGAGAAGCUUGAGCAGAAGUUUCAGGUAAAAUAUUUGUAUACCUAUUCUUUUUGGGCUUAUCUGAUAUCUCUAGGGACGAGAAGACAAAGGUGAGAAGGAAAAGAAAGAAGGUGACGAUGAUGAAGAGCUUGAUGAUGACGAAGUAGAAGGUUCUGAGGAAGAUUUUAGUGAUGACGACUAUAAUCAGAAUGUUGAUUUUGAUGAUGAUGAAGAUGACUUUAAUGCGGAUGAAGUUGAAGAUGAAGCUGAAAUGUAGGUGCCCCAGAGGAUGUUUUCCUGGCCUUCAUAUAACAGCAUAUUGCAAGUUUUGCGGAUUUAUAAAGUAUUCACAUUGUUAAAUAUCAAAUCACAACCCGGCGUUUCUCUUGGUGGUAAAACUUCAAGAGCCUUUUUAAAUGGUUACCUAAUGUAAAUUUCAUCUUUUCUUUUUUGGUAGAAAACACUUGGCAAUGCAGUAGCUUAUAAAUGCUCGAGAAAAUUUUGAAAUAUUUUUGAUACUCUGCAUAAGGAUUCUUUGAUUCUACUCGAAUAACUUAAAAUGUUAGCUUCAAAA
Jatropha curcas is the source of this 1124-nucleotide RNA transcript. RefSeq lists it as uncharacterized. The record is from RefSeq and is a predicted model, not a curated record. Lineage: Eukaryota; Viridiplantae; Streptophyta; Magnoliopsida; Malpighiales; Euphorbiaceae.